ACGUAGGGUGCAAGCGUUAAUCGGAAUUACUGGGUUUAAAGGGUGCGUAGGCGGCUUUGUAAGUCAGGAGUGAAAGUUUGCGGCUCAACCGUAAAAUUGCUUCUGAUACUGCAUGGCUAGAAUUAGGAUGAGGUCAGCGGAAUGUGGCAUGUAGCGGUGAAAUGCAUAGAUAUGCCAUAGAACACCAAUUGCGAAGGCAGCUGGCUAGACCUGGAUUGACGCUGAGGCACGAAAGCGUGGGGAGCGAACAGGAUUAGAUACCCUGGUAGUCCACGCCCUAAACGAUGCUUACUCGACGUAUGGCACUAGUUGUUGUGCGUCCAAGGGAAACCGUUAAGUAAGCCACCUGGGGAGUACGACCGCAAGGUUG
Molecule: ribosomal RNA, 370 nt
Filed under: uncultured bacterium
Lineage: Bacteria
Description: bacterial SSU rRNA
Rfam family: Bacterial small subunit ribosomal RNA
Source: RNAcentral